This 183-nucleotide small RNA is filed under the name Salmo salar (Atlantic salmon). RNAcentral describes it as "Metazoan signal recognition particle RNA". It matches the Rfam family "Metazoan signal recognition particle RNA", at positions 117 to 299 of the family's 299-position model. Rfam says of the family: The signal recognition particle (SRP) is a universally conserved ribonucleoprotein. The record is from Rfam by way of RNAcentral. Lineage: Eukaryota; Metazoa; Chordata; Actinopteri; Salmoniformes; Salmonidae.
AAGUUCGGUAUCGAUAUGGUGUUCUUGGGGGAGCCCGAGACCGCAUGGUUGUCUAAGGAGGGGUGUACCGGCCCAGGUCGGAAACGAAGCAGGUCAAAUCCCCCGUACUGUCCAGUAGUGGGAUAGGGCCUGUGAGUAGAUGCUGCAGUGCAGCCUUGGCAAGACAUCGAAACCCAAUCUUUU